This 81-nucleotide transfer RNA is filed under the name Canis lupus familiaris (dog). It matches the Rfam family "tRNA". From Rfam's summary of the family: Transfer RNA (tRNA) molecules are approximately 80 nucleotides in length. Their secondary structure includes four short double-helical elements and three loops (D, anti-codon, and T loops). RNAcentral also lists the same sequence under 1 other name. Lineage: Eukaryota; Metazoa; Chordata; Mammalia; Carnivora; Canidae. The record is from Rfam by way of RNAcentral.
GCCUGGGUGGCUCAGUGGUUGAGCGUCUGCCUUUGGCUCAGGGAGUGACCCCAGUCCUGGGAUCGAGUCCCACAUCAGGCU